Molecule: small nucleolar RNA, 132 nt
Filed under: Arabidopsis thaliana (thale cress)
Lineage: Eukaryota; Viridiplantae; Streptophyta; Magnoliopsida; Brassicales; Brassicaceae
Description: JKHR06D5
Rfam family: Small nucleolar RNA R32/R81/Z41 (bases 1-93)
About the family: This family contains the related snoRNAs R32, R81 and Z41 which are members of the C/D class of snoRNA containing the C (UGAUGA) and D (CUGA) box motifs. Most of the members of the box C/D family function in directing site-specific 2'-O-methylation of substrate RNAs.
Source: RNAcentral
GGGGAAUAUGAUGAAAGUUGUAUAUCGGUGAUGGUCUUUUGAUUCAUAUGAUCGACAAAAAUUUCAACUCGCUACGUUCUUUCUGAUUCUUUUUAAGUUGGAAGGAAAAAAAAAAAAAAAAAAAAAAANAAA